GCGAGCAUCUUCGGGGAGUAGCCGUCCGCACCACAGCGGAGCCCGCGUCAACAGACUUGGUCCGUCUCGGACCAUGGCGCGUGCGGCGGACCUUCAGGUCCGGAUUGGCGAGACCGGCGAUGCGGCCUCCAUAGCCCACGGGCGCGGCGGAGGUUUUGCGUCGUCGUGUCGAACGCCGCGUC
RNAcentral lists this small RNA (182 nucleotides) under Phenylobacterium sp. Its description in RNAcentral is "Manganese sequence". The stretch from base 13 to 106 matches the Rfam family "Manganese Mn2+ riboswitch aptamer (yybP-ykoY)". Rfam says of the family: This RNA was originally discovered in E. coli during a large scale screen and was named SraF. The record is from RNAcentral. Lineage: Bacteria; Pseudomonadati; Pseudomonadota; Alphaproteobacteria; Caulobacterales; Caulobacteraceae.